AGGAAAAUUUUCCAAUUACAACCGAAUAUAGGUUACAUUUUGCGAAUUACAACCUUAAACUUUUUGUUUUGUGAAUUACAACCUCAAACUUAAUCCCGUACUUUAAAUUACAACAACAACAACAACAACAACAACAACAACAACAACAACAACAAAGCCUUAGUCCCAACAUGAUUUGGGGUCUGCUAACAUGAAUCGUCGUAGGAGAUCGUCAAAAAAACAAGGAAGAGAAUUACAACCCAAAGUCAUAUUCCGACGAAAAUGAUCAGAUUAUGAUGUCAUUAUUAUAUUUACCUAAUUAAUAAUUCUAAAAGAACCAUAAUAAAAAAAAAAUAAAAAAAAAUAAAAAAAAAUCCAUUCACUAUCAUUUCGAUUACAAUUUUUUCCUACCAUUAACUUCUGCACUCCUCUCCCUCCCCAAAAAAUCAUCUUUUCAACUUCAAAGCUUCAAUGCUAACAUUUCCAUAAAUACUCCCUCGAUGCUCUUUCAGUGUGAUAUAUCUCUCUAUAUAUUUUUUCAACAUAAGAGGACACCAUUACAGGUUGAAGGCUGGAAGCUUCAACAAUGAUGACAUAGGAGAGAAAAGGCAUCACUAUCGCUAUUUGAGGGGUGUCAUUGAUGUUUGUACGUAGAAGAUUAACAAAUACAUAGAGAAUAAAGAAGAGAAAAUUAUAGGGUUGUAAUUAGGGAGAAUGCCGUGAAAGUACAAUGUAUGUUGGGGAUUAUUUUAUUUUUUAAUUUCUGAUUAUGGUUUUUUUAUAUUUUUGAAAUUAUUAAUUAGGUUUAAAAUAUAAUAAUGACAUCAUAAUUAAUCCGAUAGUUUUUGCCGGAAUAUGAUCUCAGGUUAUAAUUUAAAGUACGAGAUUAAGUUUGAGGUUGUAAUUCGCAAAACUGAAAGUUUAAGGUUGUAAUUCGCAAAGUGUAAAUUUUUUUGGAUUGUAAGUGGCAAAUUUUCCUAUUAAUAAA
Long non-coding RNA from Spinacia oleracea (spinach), 967 nucleotides. RefSeq lists it as uncharacterized. NCBI's taxonomy places the organism in Eukaryota, Viridiplantae, Streptophyta, Magnoliopsida, Caryophyllales, Amaranthaceae. The record is from RefSeq and is a predicted model, not a curated record. The transcript has 2 exons.